This 454-nucleotide small RNA is filed under the name Sclerencoelia fraxinicola. RNAcentral describes it as "eukaryotic LSU rRNA". The stretch from base 146 to 299 matches the Rfam family "5.8S ribosomal RNA". Lineage: Eukaryota; Fungi; Ascomycota; Leotiomycetes; Helotiales; Sclerotiniaceae. The record is from RNAcentral.
AUCAUUACAGAGUUCGUGCCCGGAAGGGUAGACCUCCCACCCUUGUGUAUUGUUACUUUGUUGCUUUGGCAGGCUGCCUUUGCGCCUGCCAGAGGUUCGUCAAACUCUUUUUAUCAAUGUCGUCUGAGUACUAUACAAUAGUUAAAACUUUCAACAACGGAUCUCUUGGUUCUGGCAUCGAUGAAGAACGCAGCGAAAUGCGAUAAGUAAUGUGAAUUGCAGAAUUCAGUGAAUCAUCGAAUCUUUGAACGCACAUUGCGCCCCUUGGUAUUCCGGGGGGCAUGCCUGUUCGAGCGUCAUUUCAACCCUCAAGCGCAGCUUGGUAUUGAGCCCUUGUCAGUGAUGGCAGGCUCUAAAAUCAGUGGCGGCGCCGUUGGGUCCUGAACGUAGUAAUAUCUCUCGUUACAGGCCCCCAGCGUGCUUCUGCCAACACCUAAAUUUCUAGUGUUGACCU